GUAACCGGAGAGGGAACCCACU
RNAcentral lists this unclassified non-coding RNA (22 nucleotides) under synthetic construct. RNAcentral describes it as "RNA (5'-R(P*GP*UP*AP*AP*CP*CP*GP*GP*AP*GP*AP*GP*GP*GP*AP*AP*CP*CP*CP*AP*CP*U)-3'... from synthetic construct (PDB 8P4B, chain P)". The record is from RNAcentral.